This 253-nucleotide ribosomal RNA is filed under the name uncultured bacterium. RNAcentral's name for it is "partial 16S ribosomal RNA". It matches the Rfam family "Bacterial small subunit ribosomal RNA", at positions 524 to 776 of the family's 1533-position model. The record is from RNAcentral.
UACGUAGGUGGCAAGCGUUAUCCGGAUUUACUGGGUGUAAAGGGCGUGUAGGCGGGAAAGCAAGUCAGAUGUGAAAACCACGGGCUCAACCUGUGGCCUGCAUUUGAAACUGUUUUUCUUGAGUACUGGAGAGGCAGACGGAAUUCCUAGUGUAGCGGUGAAAUGCGUAGAUAUUAGGAGGAACACCAGUGGCGAAGGCGGUCUGCUGGACAGCAACUGACGCUGAGGCGCGAAAGCGUGGGGAGCAAGCAGG